This 1417-nucleotide ribosomal RNA is filed under the name cyanobacterium NIES-2124. RNAcentral describes it as "bacterial SSU rRNA". It matches the Rfam family "Bacterial small subunit ribosomal RNA". Lineage: Bacteria; Bacillati; Cyanobacteriota. The record is from RNAcentral.
GAUGAACGCUGGCGGUAUGCUUAACACAUGCAAGUCGAACGAGGUGCUUCGGCACCUAGUGGCGGACGGGUGAGUAACGCGUGAGAAUCUGCCCUCAGGUCUGGGAUAACGACUGGAAACGGUCGCUAAUACCGGAUGUGCCGAGAGGUGAAAGGCUAGCUGCCUGGGGAUGAGCUCGCGUCCGAUUAGCUAGUUGGUGGGGUAAGAGCCCACCAAGGCAGUGAUCGGUAGCUGGUUUGAGAGGAUGAUCAGCCACACUGGGACUGAGACACGGCCCAGACUCCUACGGGAGGCAGCAGUGGGGAAUUUUCCGCAAUGGGCGCAAGCCUGACGGAGCAAUACCGCGUGCGGGAGGAAGGCUUUUGGGUCGUAAACCGCUUUUAUUGGGGAAGAAGAUCUGACGGUACCCAAUGAAUCAGCAUCGGCUAACUCCGUGCCAGCAGCCGCGGUAAUACGGAGGAUGCAAGCGUUAUCCGGAAUUAUUGGGCGUAAAGCGUCCGCAGGUGGCUUAUCAAGUCUGCUGUCAAAGCGUAGAGCUUAACUCUAUAUAGGCAGUGGAAACUGGUCGGCUAGAGUUCGGUAGGGGUAGCGGGAAUUCCCAGUGUAGCGGUGAAAUGCGUAGAUAUUGGGAAGAACACCAGCGGCGAAAGCGCGCUACUGGGCCGAGACUGACACUGAGGGACGAAAGCUAGGGGAGCGAAAGGGAUUAGAUACCCCUGUAGUCCUAGCUGUAAACGAUGGGUACUAGGUGUUGCGCGUAUCGACCCGUGCAGUGCCGUAGCUAACGCGUUAAGUACCCCGCCUGGGGAGUACGCACGCAAGUGUGAAACUCAAAGGAAUUGACGGGGGCCCGCACAAGCGGUGGAGUAUGUGGUUUAAUUCGAUGCAACGCGAAGAACCUUACCAGGGCUUGACAUCCCGCGAACCUUGAUGAAAGUCGAGGGUGCCUUCGGGAGCGCGGAGACAGGUGGUGCAUGGCUGUCGUCAGCUCGUGUCGUGAGAUGUUGGGUUAAGUCCCGCAACGAGCGCAACCCACGUCCUUAGUUGCCAGCAUUAAGUUGGGCACUCUGGGGAGACUGCCGGUGACAAACCGGAGGAAGGUGUGGAUGACGUCAAGUCAUCAUGCCCCUUACGUCCUGGGCUACACACGUACUACAAUGCUAUGGACAGAGAGUUGCGAGCCCGCGAGGGUGAGCCAAUCUCAUAAACCAUGGCUCAGUUCAGAUUGCAGGCUGCAACUCGCCUGCAUGAAGGCGGAAUCGCUAGUAAUCGCAGGUCAGCAUACUGCGGUGAAUACGUUCCCGGGCCUUGUACACACCGCCCGUCACACCAUGGGAGUUGGCCACGCCCCGAAGUCGUUACUCCAACCUUUUCGGAGGGGGGGGACGCCGAAGGCAGGGCUGAUGACUGGGGUGAA